This 1585-nucleotide long non-coding RNA is filed under the name Salmo trutta (river trout). Its description in RNAcentral is "lncRNA (ENSSTUG00000015495.1)". The record is from RNAcentral. Lineage: Eukaryota; Metazoa; Chordata; Actinopteri; Salmoniformes; Salmonidae.
UUUCAUUGUCCUGAUGUUUCACUUUAAUUGUCACAAAUGAUCCUAAAUAAAUAUUUAUGUGCAGUUUAUAUGGUUUUAUAGAUAAAAUAUGUGGUUAUUUACGACAUUUAUUUGUAUUUCAGGCUGGUCAUCAAGACGUGCUCCCUGUACCCGACUCACUGGAUAGGGAAGGACCACUGCCUGCUCAGCUCUGGAGACAAACUGGUGCUGAUGAGAGAGAACAAUAAAGAUGGAGACAAUGAAGAUGGAGAUCAACACAUACAGAUUCGCUGCAAGAGACCUGAGACCAGCGAGUUCCGUCGUUCUUGGGAUCUCUUCCUAUCGGUGAUGACAAAGCUAGUGUUGCUGUCUAGACAGUGGCCUGGCCUAUCCCAACAUGUCCACACCCCCUGUAAGGAGAAAGGUUGCACAGCCUACUUCGUCUGGAGAGACUGGCAGGACCUCUCAAACUCAGACAUAUAUGACCUGUAAGCCAAAUGUAUCUAACGUAAUUGUUAUUUGUCUAUUUGUCUAUGCACAACUGUAUUGUUAUUAUAUUAUUGCACUUAUUUCAAAUGAUAAUUAUGUUGUUUCUCUAUCAAUACACUAUUAAAAUACUAUUACAACUGAAGUGUGUGUGUGUGUGUGUGUGUGUGUGUGUGUGUGUGUGUGUGUGUUGAACAGUGUGCAGGAGGAAAAACAACUCUGCCGAAAUGGACACACGCGACGGACCGAAAUGCUUUUCCCAAAAGAUCCUGUUGUCAACAAAUCAAAAGGACAAUGACCAGAACCUAGAAAGCAGAACUUCAUUAGAGGGAGAUGGUUUCUCUUUCAGUGAUGUCUCCAAGUUGACUAUCUUACAAUCAAAACAUUUUCCUUAUAUGCAACAUCAAAAUAUUCACUCCUUACAGUUUGGGUUUAGGCUUGAGGUCUCAUUUAUAUUCAUAUUCAUGUUUCUCUCUCAAUAUUAUGAAAGUAUAUAUUUUUAUAUCCUACCACAGGGCAGCGCUCUUGAUCCAUUCUGAUAAAAAGAAUACUGAUGUACAGCUACACAAAACUUCAUUGCAGUCCAGAUAUCCACUUUUUGAUGCCUUAUCCUGAUACCAAAUAAAUAAUUUUAAGCCUCUGACAUGACAUAAUCCAUUUUUAUUUGUAAUAUAUUUUAUUUAUUUAUUCAAUACUUAAUUCCAGAUGUAGAAUGUAAUGGGUUACUUGAUAUCCAAUUCAUAAAUUCAGAGUGCUGAACGUUUUCUAUGAGGAUUGUACAAUUCAACAGUUUGUCUUCCAUUAAUUUCAGAACUGAAUUGAAAUGGAGUUAACCCAAGCCCUGAUGUUUUUACACUGAAGGAAUUCUCUGUAUGUUCUAUCCUGGGGGAGUGGUGCGCCUAACUGAAUUACUGUGACUUCAGAAGGUAUUCACGCCCCUUGACCUUUUCCACAUUUUGUGGUAUUACAACCUGAAUUUAAAAUGGAUUACAUUAAGAUUUUGUGUCACUGGUUUACACACAAUAUCCCAUAAUGUCAAAGUGGAAUUAUGUUUUUGAAAUGUUUACAAAUGUAUUAAAAAUUAAAAGCCAAAAUGUCUUAAGUCAAUAAGUAUUCAACC